AUCCUGCAGAACCAUGGUCAACCUUAUGGAUGUAUCCUCUUCCCUAAGCAGAAGAUCUUGAAGGCCCUCGUGUGUAAAAAGGAUAUGAGGCUGUGUGAGUAUUACCUCAAUUUUCCUUUGUCUUCCUCCUGUCAUGGUGAAAACAUGGCUUGUCACGUACUGUACUGUACUGUGAGAAGUGCGUACUGUCAAUGGAUGAUGUAAGACGACGUGUGAUGUUUUUUGAAUGAGUCGAGCUAACUCGGAGGCAAACGCCGCACAUACUGGAUGUCGCUUUUCGUAUUUUUCUAGUGGCGUAGAGGCAUAUAGACAAAUUUGUCUUUCUCCUGAUUCCCCCUUCUGAUAAAGAGCAGCAGAUACACUGCUGGUCUUUUCAGAAACAUCCAGGAAAAACAUUGUUGUAGUCAGGAAUAGCCAAUGCGGCAGCUGAGGACAAGUGCUGUUUGAGGUUUACAAAAGAGUUUUCCGCUUCAGUGGUCCAAGUGAGGAUAUGUGACAAAUUUCUCAUUCCUUCAAUGUUAACCAUUUGGCGAAGAGGAUGUGUAAGUUCUGCAAAGUCCGGGACAUGAUGGCGUGAGUAGUUGCACAGUCCUAAGAAGGCGAGCAUUUGUUUGACAUUGAUAGGUUUCGGAUGGUGUAAGAUGUCAUCUUUGUGUGAGGGAGACAUCCCUGUGCCUUUGCAUGAAAUAAGGCGUCCCAAAAGGGAAACUUGUGGCCUUGCAAUUUGUAGUUUGCUUUUGGAGCACUUAGGUCCUACUGACGUUAGAUGAGACCAGAGUUGCUGGGUGACUUGAAGACAUGAGGACUCGGACCAACAGUAUGUCAUCUACAUAUUGUAUUAAGAGCACGCCUUCCGGAAGUUGAAGUGGUGAUAAAAGUUGUCUGAGAUGAUCAUUGAACAGUCCUGGUGACAGAACAAAGCCUUGUGGAAGUCUGUUGUAAGAAUAGUAAUCAUUAUUCCAAGUAAAUGCAAAUUAUUGCUUCAGAGAUGGGUCAAGAGGAAUACAGAAAAAUGCAUUACCCAGAUCAAUGCAAGUAAAAUGGGUGUGAGACGGAGAGAGCGGAGACAGGGCUGAGUGCGGAUUGGGUACUGGAAGUGUUGGUGUCAAGACCGCUGCAUUUAUUCCCCUCAAGUCAUGUACCAUAUGGAAUUUUCCAGUAUUUUUCUUUUCAACUGGUAGAAUUGGUGUAUCAUACUCUUGAUUCAUGUAUUUUGCACAAUACUCCUGCUUUUAGCAAGCCUUCAAUGGUUUCUGUAAUGCCAAUCCGACCUGCUUCCUUCAUUGGAUACUGUGGUAUCCAAAUAGGAUCAGGCUUCAUUUUGAAUUUCACCGGCUGUACUUGACACAAUCCCACGUCCGUUGGGUCUGUAGACCACAGAUGUAGAGGCAAAGAUUGUACCAUAGGAUUGGCGAAUUCACUGUCAGUUGUUUCUCGUCCAUGAUGUCUGUCCAACAAGCAGUGCUCCAGGGUUGAUGUUGGUGUAUACGGUGCUGACUGUAUCCAGUAUGCAUCGAGAGACCGAGAAUAUAGCAAUGUGUCGUGAAAAGUUGGCUGCCAAUCAAUAGCCUGUGUGCAGCUUAGGACGAACGGACCCAAAUCCUUUGCAGUAUGCUGUGGUGAUACAAUCAGGGACACAUGAGGAUGACAUGGUGGCACAGUGAGAUCUGAUGGAUGAGUCAUCAUAUACCAUUUUUGUUGUUCAGGUGUUAGUGAAAUUGAAAAGGCCACACCUGGUUUUCCCAUGAACAGGUCACCCAUUUGUAGUUCCCAGAUGUUGCCUUCUACAUUUUGGAAAGCCUCGAUGUACACCUCAUCUCCUGUCCUGUCAUAGUACAGAGUGCAAUGCAUACAAUCAAAAACCAUAUCAUAGGGUCUGAGGUGACGAACCCACGGUGACCAUUGAGUCCAAAAGGUCUCUGCUUCCGUCCAUCUGGGUGAGUCAGUGUCCAUUUUCGCCCAGUAGAUUUGGCGGUGGCACACGUCAUGCUUGGUAGUUUGUCGCUCUGAAUCCUGCAUGUAGAUGUUUGAUGUGUCGUCACCGGAACAACAGUAGGUGUGUCCAUCAGGAAACUGUAACAUCAGGAAAUAUCAGUCCAUCCGGGCUGCACAGUAUUGUUGGAGCUGUUUUGAUGAGAAGAUCCCUUCCCAACAGGUUGACAGGGCAAUUGGGCGCAUACACAAACGAGUGUAAAAGAGUUUGUGUAAAACACUGAGUAUGUACGGGUGUAGUCAUUUGCAGGAUGGUUUCUUCACCCCGGAAUCCAACAAGGGAAAUGCCUUUUGCAGUAAGGGAACUUUCAGGUGGUAAUGUCAUAACGGUUGAAUGACUGGCUCCCGUAUCGACCAUGAAAGGUAAAAUAGUUCCUCCUACCGUCAGUCUGAUCAUUGGUUCCUGCAGACCGUGGCAUGUAGAUUCGGGGCCCCAUCAUUGCUGAUGCUGUUGGUUCGGCACUUGAGGGUAAGACUGCUGCUGCUGCUGCGGCGGAUAUUGUUGAGUCAUAUCCUGCUGCUGUUGCUGUCCGUAUCCUCUUCCUCUUUGCUGGCCAUAACCACGCCUGUUGAAUCCUCUAGGUGGGCCACUUCCUCCUCUGCCCCUGCCCUCCAGGGGACGCGCUCGGCUGUCUCUUGCCCAGUGUCCGUUACGACCACAGUUGAAGCAUUGAUUUCUGCCAGCAAACGGAGCACCUCGACCCAUGAAUGUUUGAUACAUGAAUGUUUGAUACAUCAUGCACUCAGAAACAUUAGGUAGCGAGGUCCCAACGGAAGCCACAGCUUGUUUUUAGACAGUUUGAUCUUGACAAGUCAGGUGCCAUGAGUUCCUAUGAGAUGCGUCUUGCUGUGGAGGCAGCAGGUUUUAAACUAAACGAGAUUCUGGUGGCCCGGUAUGCAGAGAAUGAGAUGAUUGAUUUUGAUAACUUUAUCUGUUGCUUGGUUAAGCUUGAGGCCAUAUUCAGGUCUUUCCUGCAGUUUGACAAAGAGGCAUCAGGAGUGGCUGAAUUGACUCUCAUAGAAUGGCUGUACCUGACCAUGUGUGGUUGAAGAGGACUACCGAUUGAGGGACAGCAGCAGCCUGCCGUGAUUGGUUUUAACACUCAGCCUUGAUAAUCCAGUCACAUUUCCCACUGUAGCGUACCCAAAGUAGCAAAGAAACUCCAUUAAACAUACACUUACAUCCAAAAAUCCAUCCAGGCCGAGGGUCUCGCACUAGAAACUUGUAAAACUAUGCAAACCUAAAGUAUGUAGCUAUCACUCCUGCAUGAGUAUAUGCGUAACCACAGAAUGACAAGUUAUUUGCAUGGUGAUAUUCCUAUAUAUUAGGUUGGCUCCUACUUCACAGUAAAAACAUUUAAGGUAGUGCUUUAAAAAUUAUGUUUUUGAUAAUCAGUCUCAAUUGACAACAGUUUUUCCUACUUGUAUGACUUGUGUUGACAUUUUUAACAGGAUAGUGUUAAUUCAAUUUCAGUCAUAGGUGGCAAUACAGACUCGAGCUCAUGAUUGUCUUUUUAACUUUCAUUUUGUGGUGUUAGAAAUAUGAAGCAGAUCUAUGUGGGGUUUCAUCCCAAGGUUUUAUUUUGCACUGAAAUUUGAGUUUAAGGAAGCGCCUCGCACAAAUGCCUCACAUUGAGAAACAGUCGCAAACAUUUACAGGGAUCAUGAUAUUAGAAUGCCUUACUUGUCCUAAGCUAUGAAUGGCUAAAUAAAAAUGUGCCAGUUAUUUUGUGUUGUGCCUUCAAUAAAUAUUGCCAUUAACAUCA
RNA transcript from Phycodurus eques (leafy seadragon), 3758 nucleotides. It is a transcript of the gene named calpain-1 catalytic subunit-like, with no coding region annotated. The transcript has 5 exons. The record is from RefSeq and is a predicted model, not a curated record. NCBI's taxonomy places the organism in Eukaryota, Metazoa, Chordata, Actinopteri, Syngnathiformes, Syngnathidae.